UACGUAGGGGGCAAGCGUUGUCCGGAUUUACUGGGUGUAAAGGGUGCUCAGGCGGGUUUGUAAGUCAGAGGUGAAACUCCGAAGCUUAACUUCGGAACUGCCUUUGAUACUGCAUCCCUAGAGUUUGAGAGAGGCGAGUGGAAUAUCUGGUGUAGCAGUGAAAUGCGUAGAUAUCAGAUAGAACACCAAUGGCGAAGGCAGCUCGCUGGCUCAGAACUGACGCUAAAGCACGAAAGUGUGGGUAG
Molecule: ribosomal RNA, 245 nt
Filed under: uncultured bacterium
Lineage: Bacteria
Description: partial 16S ribosomal RNA
Rfam family: Bacterial small subunit ribosomal RNA
Source: RNAcentral